RNAcentral lists this ribosomal RNA (1069 nucleotides) under human gut metagenome. RNAcentral's name for it is "bacterial SSU rRNA". It matches the Rfam family "Bacterial small subunit ribosomal RNA", at positions 135 to 1226 of the family's 1533-position model. The record is from RNAcentral.
AGUGGGGAAUAAUGUUUGGAAACGGACACUAAUACCGCAUAACAUAUAAUUAUCGCAUGAUAAAUAUAUCAAAGGAUUAAUUCGCUUAUGGAUGGACUCGCGUCCGAUUAGAUAGUUGGUGAGGUAACGGCCCACCAAGUCGACGAUCGGUAGCCGGACUGAGAGGUCGAUCGGCCACAUUGGGACUGAGACACGGCCCAGACUCCUACGGGAGGCAGCAGUGGGGGAUAUUGCACAAUGGGCGAAAGCCUGAUGCAGCAACGCCGCGUGAGGGAAGACGGUUUUCGGAUUGUAAACCUCUUUUCUUAGUGAAGAAACAAAUGACGGUAGCUAAGGAAUAAGCAUCGGCUAACUACGUGCCAGCAGCCGCGGUAAUACGUAGGAUGCAAGCGUUGUCCGGAAUUACUGGGUGUAAAGGGAGCGCAGGCGGGUAUUUAAGUCAGCUGUGAAAACCAAGGGCUCAACCUUUGAAUUGCAGUUGAAACUGAGUAUCUUGAGUGGAGUAGAGGUAAGCGGAAUUCCGAGUGUAGCGGUGAAAUGCGUAGAUAUUCGGAGGAACACCGGUGGCGAAGGCGGCUUACUGGGCUCUAACUGACGCUGAGGCUCGAAAGUGUGGGUAGCAAACAGGAUUAGAUACCCUGGUAGUCCACACUGUAAACGAUGAUUGCUAGGUGUGGGGAGUAACAAUCUUUCCGUGCCGGAGUUAACGCAAUAAGCAAUCCACCUGGGGAGUACGGUCGCAAGACUGAAACUCAAAGGAAUUGACGGGGGCCCGCACAAGCAGUGGAUUAUGUGGUUUAAUUCGAAGCUACGCGAAAAACCUUACCAGGUCUUGACAUCAAGUGACAGACAAAGAGAUUUGUUUUUCCUUCGGGACACGAAGACAGGUGGUGCAUGGUUGUCGUCAGCUCGUGUCGUGAGAUGUUGGGUUAAGUCCCGCAACGAGCGCAACCCUUGCCAUUAGUUGCUACGAAAGAGCACUCUAAUGGGACCGCUACCGACAAGGUGGAGGAAGGUGGGGACGACGUCAAAUCAUCAUGCCCCUUAUGACCUGGGCUACACACGUAAU